This 471-nucleotide ribosomal RNA is filed under the name uncultured bacterium. RNAcentral's name for it is "bacterial SSU rRNA". It matches the Rfam family "Bacterial small subunit ribosomal RNA", at positions 186 to 656 of the family's 1533-position model. The record is from RNAcentral.
CGGCAUCGUUUUGUGUUGAAAGCUCCGGCGGUUAAAGAUGAGUAUGCGUCUGAUUAGCUAGUUGGUGAGGUAACGGCUCACCAAGGCGACGAUCAGUAGGGGAUCUGAGAGGAUUAACCCCCACACGGAUACUGAGACACGGAUCCGACUCCUACGGGAGGCAGCAGUAAGGAAUAUUGGACAAUGCCCGCAAGGGUGAUCCAGCCAUGCCGCGUGCAGGAAGACGGCCCUAUGGGUUGUAAACUGCUUUUGUACCGGAGAAAACCUCCCCUCGUGAGGGGAGCUGAUAGUAUGGUAAGAAUAAGCAUCGGCUAACUUCGUGCCAGCAGCCGCGGUAAGACGAAGGAUGCAAGCGUUAUCCGGAUUCAUUGGGUUUAAAGGGAGCGUAGGUGGUCUUAUAAGUCAGUGGUGAAAUCUCGCAGCUUAMCUGCGAAAUUGCCAUUGAUACUGUAGGACUUGAGUACAGUUGCC